This 432-nucleotide ribosomal RNA is filed under the name uncultured bacterium. Its description in RNAcentral is "partial 16S ribosomal RNA". It matches the Rfam family "Bacterial small subunit ribosomal RNA", at positions 29 to 506 of the family's 1533-position model. The record is from RNAcentral.
AACGAACGCUGGCGGCAUGCCUAACACAUGCAAGUCGAUCGAGACCUUCGGGUCUAGUGGCGCACGGGUGCGUAACGCGUGGGAACCUGCCCUUAGGUUCGGAAUAACUCCCCGAAAGGGGUGCUAAUACCGGAUAAUGUCUUCGGACCAAAGAUUUAUCGCCUUUGGAUGGGCCCGCGUUGGAUUAGCUAGUUGGUAGGGUAAAAGCCUACCAAGGCGACGAUCCAUAGCUGGUCUGAGAGGAUGAUCAGCCACACUGGGACUGAGACACGGCCCAGACUCCUACGGGAGGCAGCAGUGGGGAAUAUUGGACAAUGGGCGAAAGCCUGAUCCAGCAAUGCCGCGUGAGUGAUGAAGGCCUUAGGGUUGUAAAGCUCUUUUACCCGGGAUGAUAAGGACAGUACCGGGAGAAUAAGCUCCGGCUAACUCCGU